This 596-nucleotide unclassified non-coding RNA is filed under the name Hevea brasiliensis (rubber tree). Lineage: Eukaryota; Viridiplantae; Streptophyta; Magnoliopsida; Malpighiales; Euphorbiaceae. The record is from RNAcentral.
GUAUGCCUCCAGGUAGAAUACCUGAAAUAUCAAUGCAACAUCUGAGACUACGAAAUACUUUGCCUUAUUGACAUCAUAAUUCUAAUUACUAAUAUCAGCAAUCAGCAAAAUAAUAGACAUUUCAUGUAUAUAAAGUUGAAUGAAAGCUCACAUUAUAUUAGGGGCAAAUACCCAUGGUUCAUGUUAAAGAAACAAUAACCAACUGCCAGACAGAUGGGCCAGGUGUUUUGUUCCUGAGCUCACCACGGUUCUAUGCUCCAACAAACAGUUACUUAAAUCAUUAACUCAUAUAACAUCCGACCUUUUUUUUAUGUCCAUUCUUAAUUGCCACAGUAGAAUCAUCAUUGAUUUGUGUUAAGCAUAGAUGACAGUUUUGAAUCUUGCCUAACACAUCUUGAAAAGCAAAUGAAGGAGAAAAAUAAUUUAUAAAUAGAAUCCAGUUGGCAGAAGUUUCCAACAGGUAGAGUAUGGAGAAAUUAUAAACCUCAAAAACAAUCAAGUCGAUGAUAGUCCAACAAUUACUUCCCUUGGCAAAGUCUAUACUGUGCCACAUUCUUAAGCCAACAUCCAUGAAGAACAACUCAACUCAACUAAGC